This 955-nucleotide unclassified non-coding RNA is filed under the name Leishmania donovani. RNAcentral describes it as "gene:LdHU3.36.2700(CDS-product:2OG-Fe(II)_oxygena se_superfamily_putative)". Lineage: Eukaryota; Euglenozoa; Kinetoplastea; Trypanosomatida; Trypanosomatidae. The record is from RNAcentral.
AGCAUCAAUCAUCUUGUUUGUGCGUUGGUUUAGCUAGCGUUGAGCCUCCAGUAUGGACGAACAUUCUUCAGCAUGCUCCUGCGCAGGCAUCCGCUUCUGCGCCAAGUGUCGUGACUCGUCGAGAGUGCAGCAACUCUUUAGCGGAUCUGUACCUCUCUCGAGCGCGCGCACUGUUAUUGAAAAACAGCACAAUGAUGAGCGUCUUUCCUCGUGCUCUUUUGCAAUCAUUAGGAAAAGCUCUCUUAGCUUUUGCAUCGAAUGCGCGAGUGUGUUCAAAUCUGAAGUCCCGAUAAAGUCAUGCGCGGAUCACCAGGGAGCCAUGGCUACCAGCAUUACUAUCAGUGGUCUUGCUGUCCUUCAACAUGCGCUUACCGAAGAGGAUGAGGCGGCAGUGAUUCGCUUCUUGGAUGAUUCGCACCCGUUUCCACCCUGGAAGGAGUCGCAGAGCGGACGGCGCAAGCAAGACUACGGACCGAGGCGCAACUUCAAGAAGAAGAAGGUAAAAGUCGCAGAGAUACCAUCGAUGCCACUUGUGUUCGAAUCCGUCUUUGCGGUGAUUUCGUCAAUGACGGAAACCUUUACUGGUAAGGCAUACAGAAUUGCGGAGGUAUCUGCGCUUGAGUACAUGGAGGGCAAGAUGAGUAAUUUCGAUCCCCACGUAGAUGACACGUGGCUAUGGGGCGACCGUAUUGCCGGGCUGAAUCUGAACGAAGCGUGCGUUGUGACGUUCGUGAAUCCGGAGGGUGUGUGCUGUGAUGUCUACUUGCCGCGUCGCGCGUUUUUCCUCAUGUCUGGGAACUGCCGCUACAAGUGGAUGCAUGGUAUCCGGCACGAACAUGUUCGGGGGCGUCGAAUUUCUCUGACAUUCCGAGAGUUGUCUGACGAAAUACUCGCCGACACGGAAGCUUCUGAAAUGGUGCUUUCUGCUGCUUCGAAUUUUGUGUAGCACACUCAC